This 20-nucleotide non-coding RNA is filed under the name Homo sapiens (human). The record is from miRBase by way of RNAcentral. RNAcentral also lists the same sequence under 1 other name. Lineage: Eukaryota; Metazoa; Chordata; Mammalia; Primates; Hominidae.
GGAUCCGAGUCACGGCACCA